Non-coding RNA from Dipodomys ordii (Ord's kangaroo rat), 65 nucleotides. Lineage: Eukaryota; Metazoa; Chordata; Mammalia; Rodentia; Heteromyidae. The record is from Rfam.
GGUGGCUCAGUGGUAGGGUGCUUGCCUUGCAUGCAUGAGGCCCUGGGUUCGAUUCCUCAGCACCA